CUUUGGCUGUGCUGAGGAGGCUUGUACAUAACUAUGCAGACACCAACAUGAAUAAUUAAUUGUUUAACUCUGUGGUGGGGUCCCGCCAGGAUGCAGAGGAGCCAAGGACCCCGCCACAUAUGGUGUCAGAAGUGGGAUUGCAGAGGGACCACAAAAAGGUGAGGACGCAGAGGCGGUGAGGAAGAUCAGCAAACACAGCUCAGUUCCAGGGACUCCACCCUCUGAGGAAGAGGGGGUGGAUCCAGGUGGCCUUGGCGGUGCUUCAGGCCAGGCCAGGGGCCCGGAGAGAACUGCGGCGUCCAGCUCAGCGCCCAUGACGAGCGGCGGACCUCGCUGACAGCAAGGGCGGACACCGUGUUUUAUUGUUUGUGCAUUUGUGUAUUUUAUGUUUUAAAAUUACUACCUGUGGUGCCACUUGGACAAUAAUUGAGUGGAACGCCCAACAGGCGUGGCUUAGCGUUCAAAAGGGAGCACCACAGGUUGUGAAAGGAGGAGGAGUGAGACUGAGGUGUCAGGUGCUGUGUGGCCCUGCGUAGAGCUAUUGUUUCCUGAAAUAAAGACCGAACUGCCUCA
This is a long non-coding RNA of Oryzias latipes (Japanese medaka), 573 nucleotides long. RefSeq lists it as uncharacterized. The record is from RefSeq and is a predicted model, not a curated record. Lineage: Eukaryota; Metazoa; Chordata; Actinopteri; Beloniformes; Adrianichthyidae.